AAAUUCUUCACUUAGGCGAUCAAGUCAUCCGAGUCAUACUAAACCAAUCUCUUAGAAGACAUCGACACGUUUGUUGCGUCCUACACGUUAUCGUGUAUAAGUUAAUACCAAAUUUUAAAUUCUUACUUUCUAGUCAAAUUUCUUAAAUCUCAUACAGUCACAUAGGCAAGUAGAAUAAAACUCUAAUGCUUUACAAGAAAUGAAUAAAAUCUCGUUUUUCGGCGUAACACUUCAUAUUCCGUUACAAAUUAGUUUU
Molecule: non-coding RNA, 256 nt
Organism: Cinara cedri
Lineage: Eukaryota; Metazoa; Arthropoda; Insecta; Hemiptera; Aphididae
Source: the annotation of a GenBank genome assembly